AGUAAAAAAAAAGAGUUUAUAACGGAUAUCUAUGUAUUAAAGGAAAGGGGACGUAAUAUAUGAACGAAAAGUUAGAGGGAGCACAUUAAAAAAAAGUGUAGGAAUAUAUAUUGAAGAUCUCUAAAUAUCCCAGCAGAAAACUGAAAAGAAGAAAAAACUUAGUGAAGUGAAACAUCUCAGUAACUAAAGGAAAAGAAAUUAACAAAGAUUCUGAAAGUAGUGGUGAGCGAAAUCAAAGGAGCAGAGUAAGAACUAUUUAUGAAAGGAAUGAAAUAAGGUGGAAUACCUUUGCGAAACAAGGUGAUAGUCCUGUAGUUAAAAAAGGGUAAAUAGAAGAUAUGAGUAAAACGAAAAACGUGGAAUUUUGUUUGAAUGAUGGGGGCCCACCCUCAAACUCUACAUAUACUUUAAUGACUGAUAGUGAACAAGUACUGUGAAGGAAAGAUGAAAAAGAAAUUUUAGAAAAAUCUAAGUAGUGAAAAGAAAUUGAAAUUGUAAAUUCGAUGAGCAAUUGGAAAUUUAUAUAUAAUAUGAAAUAACAAUGUACCUUUUGUAUAAUGGGUCAGCGAGUUAAUUAAUAUAGCAAGCUUAAGAUAAUAAUUGUAGGCGUAGCGAAAGCGAAUUUUAAAAGGUGUUUUGAGUUAUAUUUUUUAGACCCGAAGCCAAGUGAUCUAAUCAUGAAUAAGUAAGUUUAAAAUAAUUUUUUUUUAAAUUUGACUGAACCCUUGUCUGUUGCAAAAUACUGGGAUGAUUUGUGAUUCGGAGUGAAAGGCUAAUCAAACUUGGUGAUAGCUGUUUUUUACGAAAUCUAUUGAGGUAGAGCGAUAUAUUUAAAAAAUUUAUUGGGGUAGAGUUACUGAGUGAUUAUAAUGGAGCAAUUUGUUUUAUCAUUUAAACUUCAAAUACGAUAAAUGGUUAUAUAUUAGGCAGACUUUGAGUGCUAAGGUUCAAAGUCGAGAGGGAAACAGCCCAGAUUGUAAGUUAACGUUCUGAAAUAAUAAUGAAGUGUAAAAGACGUGAAAAAAGUGAAGUUAAUUGGGAGGUAGGCUUGGAAGCAGCUAUCCUUUAAAGAAAGCGUAACAGCUCACCAAUUUAAGGCUUUUAUUCUGUCAACAAUGUAUAUGAACUAAGUAUUAUACGGAAACUACAAAAUUAAAAAAAAUUGGUAGUAAAAUGUUUUGUAUGUCGGUGAAGUAUAAUUAAGAAAAUUAUGAUGGAGAUAUCAAAAUUAAGAAUGCUGAUAUGAGUAAUGUUAUAUAAUGUAAAAACAUUAUCACUGUAAAUUAGAGGGUUCCUAAUAAAACGUUAAACGUAUUAGGGUUAGGCGGUUCCUAAGGUAGGUAUGAAAAUAUUUUUACUGAUGGAUAUUUAGAUUAAUAAUUCUAAACUUUAUAUUAAUGACAAUGCACUAUGAAAACUACGUAUGUAUACUAUAAUUAUUUAGUUUUUGUAUUGUGUUUAAAAAAGAGUUAAUAUAUAUUAUAAACCGUACUUAAACCGACACCGGUUAAUUGAUAGAGAUUAUUAAAGUGUAGAGUGAAUAAUACUGAAGGAACUCGGCAAAAUGACUCUGUAACUUCGGGAUAAAGAGUACCUUUUUUUAGGUCUAGAAAAUAGGGGGUAGCGACUGUUUAACAAAAACACAGGGCUCUGCAAAAUAGUAAUAUGAUGUAUAGGGCCUGAUACCUGCCCGGUGCUGCAAAAUGAAGAGGAGGAAUGCAAGUUCCGAAUUUAAGUCUCAGUAAACGGCGGCUGUAACCUUGACGGUCCUAAGGUAGCGAAAUUCCUUGUCGAGUAAUUUUCGACGUGCAUGAAUGGUUUAACGACUUCCCUACUGUCUCCAGUAGUAUCUCAAUGAAGUUGAAUUUUCCGUGAAGAUGCGGAAUAAUAGCAGCUAGACGGAAAGACCCUAUGCACCUUAACUUUGAUUAUAUAUUGUGUGACUGUUCUUGUGAUGUAGGAUAUUUAGGAAGCUUAUGAUCUUUUGAUUCAGGUCAAUUUAAGGGAGGCGUUGGUGAAAUACUAAAUGAAUUUGAAUUUAACACUAAAAAUAAAUAGUGUAUAGUAGGUAGUUUGACUGGGGUGGUCGCCUAAAGAGUAACGGAGGUGUACAAAGGUAAAUUUAGGUUAAUUUUAUUAAUCUUAAAAGUGCAAUGGCAAAAGUUUGCUUGACUGAAAGACAUACAAGUCGAUCAGAGACGAAAGUCGGUCAUAGUGAUCCGGUAAUUCUGUGUGGAAAGGUUACCGCUAACGGAUAAAAGGUACGCUAGGGAUAACAGGCUAGUUCCGGAUUUGAGUUCUUAUCUAUUCCGGAGUUCGGCACCUCGAUGUCGGCUCAUCUUGUCCUGGGGUUGUAGUAGUUCCCAAGGGUACUGGUGUUCACAGUUUAAAAAGGUACGUGAGCUGGGUUCAGAACGUCGUGAGACAGUUCGGUCCCUAUCUACUGUUAUAAUGAAAAAAUGAAAAUGCUGAUUCUAGUACGAGAGGAUUGAGGAGGGUAAACCGCUGGUGUAUUAAUUAUUUUUUGAAAAGUAUAGUUAAGUAGCUACGUUUAAAUAUAAAUGAUUGAUAAUAUCAUUUUGAAAUAACCGCUGAAGAAAUAUUAAGUGGGAAGUUUAUUUUCAAAUUUUAAUUCAGGUUGAAGACUACAACUUAGAUAGGCCACAAAUAAAAUAUAUAGUAAUAUAUUUUGCUGGUAUUUAUAAAAUAUUGCAUCCUUAAUUAUUUAAGAAGUUUAGUGGUACUAAAAA
RNAcentral lists this ribosomal RNA (2750 nucleotides) under Cavenderia fasciculata. RNAcentral's name for it is "LSU rRNA". It matches the Rfam family "Bacterial large subunit ribosomal RNA". The record is from RNAcentral. Lineage: Eukaryota; Evosea; Eumycetozoa; Acytosteliales; Cavenderiaceae.